AUUGAACGCUGGCGGCAGGCUUAACACAUGCAAGUCGAGCGGGGUGAUGGUGCUUGCACUAUCACUUAGCGGCGGACGGGUGAGUAAUGCUUAGGAAUCUGCCUAUUAGUGGGGGACAACAUCUCGAAAGGGAUGCUAAUACCGCAUACGUCCUACGGGAGAAAGCAGGGGAUCACUUGUGACCUUGCGCUAAUAGAUGAGCCUAAGUCGGAUUAGCUAGUUGGUGGGGUAAAGGCCUACCAAGGCGACGAUCUGUAGCGGGUCUGCGAGGAUGGUCCGCCACACUGGGACUGAGACACGGCCCAGACUCCUACGGGAGGUAGCAGUGGGGAAUAUUGGACAAUGGGGGGAACCCUUAUCCAGCCAUGCCGCGUGUGUGAAGAAGGCCUUAUGGUUGUAAAGCACUUUAAGCGAGGAGGAGGCUCUUUUGGUUAAUACCCAAGAUGAGUGGACGUUACUCGCAGAAUAAGCACCGGCUAACUCUGUGCCAGCAGCCGCCGUAA
This 503-nucleotide ribosomal RNA is filed under the name uncultured bacterium. Its description in RNAcentral is "partial 16S ribosomal RNA". It matches the Rfam family "Bacterial small subunit ribosomal RNA", at positions 30 to 523 of the family's 1533-position model. The record is from RNAcentral.